Molecule: transfer RNA, 90 nt
Organism: Brevibacillus borstelensis AK1
Lineage: Bacteria; Bacillati; Bacillota; Bacilli; Caryophanales; Paenibacillaceae
Rfam family: tRNA
About the family: Transfer RNA (tRNA) molecules are approximately 80 nucleotides in length.
Source: Rfam
GGAUGGAUGUCCGAGUGGCCGAAGGAGCACGAUUGGAAAUCGUGUAGACGGGGAUGACUCGUCUCGUGGGUUCAAAUCCCACUCCAUCCG